This 322-nucleotide long non-coding RNA is filed under the name Fukomys damarensis (Damara mole-rat). Its description in RNAcentral is "lncRNA (ENSFDAG00000032422.1)". The record is from RNAcentral. Lineage: Eukaryota; Metazoa; Chordata; Mammalia; Rodentia; Bathyergidae.
CCGGCGUGGAAUCGGUGGCCGGGCAGCUCACCCAAGGCGGACCAAGUCGAGCUCUAGCUGAGGAACCACUGAACUUACAGUUAACCUUGACAGAGUGACCCUCCCUGGGGCUUGUCCCGUACUCUGAGAAAGUAAUGUCUUCCCUUUAGCGUCAGCAGCCGGGCAGUGGACCGGGGUCGGCAGGGGACACUGGUCAGGCUGCGCGGAGAGGGAACGCUCCACAGACAGAGCGGAGUGAGGGCCAGGGGCUGCGAGGUGACCAGAAGUUUUCGAAACCGAUGGAGAAAAGGAUGGAUCUAAUAACGAGGGAAAACAACCAGAA